GUUUGAUCAUGGCUCAGGAUGAACGUUGCCGGCGUGCCUAACACAUGCAAGUCGAACGAGCAGCCGGAUUCUUCGGAAACCGGCGGGCUAGUGGCGCACGGGUGAGUAACACGUUGGUGACCUGCCCCGAAGCGGGGGACAACCACUGGAAACGGUGGCUAAUACCGCAUGUGCUUAAUCAUUCGUUUGGUUAAGUAAAACUCAGGUGCUUCGGGAGGGGCCUGCGGUCGAUUAGUUAGUUGGUGAGGUAAUGGCUCACCAAGACGAUGAUCGAUAGGGGGCGUGAGAGCGUGACCCCCCACACUGGAACUGAGACACGGUCCAGACUCCUACGGGAGGCAGCAGUGAGGAAUAUUGCACAAUGGGCGCAAGCCUGAUGCAGCAACGCCGCGUGGGGGAUGAAGGCCUUCGGGUCGUAAACCCCUUUUCCAUGGGAAGAGAAAGGACGGUACCAUGGGAAUAAGUCUCGGCUAACUACGUGCCAGCAGCCGCGGUAAAACGUAGGAGGCGAACGUUAUCCGGAAUUACUGGGCGUAAAGCGCGCGCAGGCGGCUCUGUAAGUCCGAUGUGAAAGCUCCCGGCUUAACUGGGAGAGGCCAUUGGAUACUGCGGAGCUUGAGGUUAGGAGAGGAAAGCGGAAUUCCCGGUGUAGUGGUGGAAUGCGUAGAUAUCGGGAGGAACUCCAGAGGCGAAGGCGGCUUUCUGGCCUACACCUGACGCUGAGGCGCGAAAGCGUGGGGAACAAACAGGAUUAGAUACCCUGGUAGUCCACGCUGUAAACGAUGUGAACUAGGUGUUGGUGGUAUCGACCCCAUCAGUGCCGUAGCUAACGCGAUAAGUUCACCGCCUGGGGACUACGGCCGCAAGGCUAAAACUCAAAGGAAUUGACGGG
Molecule: ribosomal RNA, 892 nt
Filed under: uncultured bacterium
Lineage: Bacteria
Description: bacterial SSU rRNA
Rfam family: Bacterial small subunit ribosomal RNA
Source: RNAcentral